AGUGAACGCUGGCGGUAGGCCUAACACAUGCAAGUCGAACGGCAGCACAGUAAGAGCUUGCUCUUACGGGUGGCGAGUGGCGGACGGGUGAGGAAUACAUCGGAAUCUACUUUCUCGUGGGGGAUAACGUAGGGAAACCUACGCUAAUACCGCAUACGACCUACGGGUGAAAGCAGGGGAUCUUCGGACCUUGCGCGAUUGAAUGAGCCGAUGUCGGAUUAGCUAGUUGGCGGGGUAAAGGCCCACCAAGGCGACGAUCCGUAGCUGGUCUGAGAGGAUGAUCAGCCACACUGGAACUGAGACACGGUCCAGACUCCUACGGGAGGCAGCAGUGGGGAAUAUUGGACAAUGGGCGCAAGCCUGAUCCAGCCAUACCGCGUGGGUGAAGAAGGCCUUCGGGUUGUAAAGCCCUUUUGUUGGGAAAGAAAAGCAGCAGGUUAAUACCCCGCUGUUCUGACGGUACCCAAAGAAUAAGCACCGGCUAACUUCGUG
RNAcentral lists this ribosomal RNA (492 nucleotides) under uncultured bacterium. RNAcentral's name for it is "partial 16S ribosomal RNA". It matches the Rfam family "Bacterial small subunit ribosomal RNA", at positions 29 to 507 of the family's 1533-position model. The record is from RNAcentral.